RNAcentral lists this ribosomal RNA (730 nucleotides) under Stomoxys calcitrans (stable fly). Its description in RNAcentral is "SSU rRNA". It matches the Rfam family "Eukaryotic small subunit ribosomal RNA", at positions 508 to 1171 of the family's 1831-position model. The record is from RNAcentral. Lineage: Eukaryota; Metazoa; Arthropoda; Insecta; Diptera; Muscidae.
AUUGGAAUGAGUACACUUUAAAUCCCUUAACAAGGACCUAUUGGAGGGCAAGUCUGGUGCCAGCAGCCGCGGUAACUCCAGCUCCAAUAGCGUAUAUUAAAGUUGUUGCGGUUAAAACGUUCGUAGUUGAACUUGUGCUUCAUACGGGUAGUACAGCUAUAAUUGUAGUUUGUACUAUACCUUAUGUAUGUAAGCGUAUUACCGGUGGAGUUCUUAUAUGCGUUAAAUACUUGUAUUUGCGUAUGUUCCUCCUAUUUAAACCUGCUUCAGUGCUCUUCACCGAGUGUUGUUGUGGGCCGGUACAAUUACUUUGAACAAAUUAGAGUGCUUAAAGCAGGCUCCAAAUGCCUGAAUAUUUUGUGCAUGGAAUAAUGAAAUAAGACCUCUGUUCUACUUUCAUUGGUUGUUAGAUCAAGAGGUAAUGAUUAAUAGAAGCAGUUUGGGGGCAUUAGUAUUACGACGCGAGAGGUGAAAUUCUUGGACCGUCGUAAGACUAACUUAAGCGAAAGCAUUUGCCAAAGAUGUUUUCAUUAAUCAAGAACGAAAGUUAGAGGUUCGAAGGCGAUCAGAUACCGCCCUAGUUCUAACCAUAAACGAUGCCAGCUAGCAAUUGGGUGUAGCUACUUUCAUGGCUCUCUCAGUCGCUUCCCGGGAAACCAAAGCUUUUGGGCUCCGGGGGAAGUAUGGUUGCAAAGCUGAAACUUAAAGGAAUUGACGGAAGGGCACCACC